This 253-nucleotide ribosomal RNA is filed under the name uncultured bacterium. Its description in RNAcentral is "partial 16S ribosomal RNA". It matches the Rfam family "Bacterial small subunit ribosomal RNA", at positions 524 to 776 of the family's 1533-position model. The record is from RNAcentral.
UACGUAGGGCGCAAGCGUUAUCCGGAAUUAUUGGGCGUAAAGAGCUCGUAGGCGGUUUGUCGCGUCUGCUGUGAAAGACCGGGGCUCAACUCCGGUUCUGCAGUGGGUACGGGCAGACUAGAGUGCAGUAGGGGAGACUGGAAUUCCUGGUGUAGCGGUGAAAUGCGCAGAUAUCAGGAGGAACACCGAUGGCGAAGGCGGCCUACUGGGCUGCACCUGACGCUGAGCCGCGAAAGCCAGGGGAGCGAACGGG